GGGAGCGUGGCAGAGCGGUUGAAUGCGCCGGCUUUUUCUGAGUCUGGCAAUGGUUCUUCCACCAUUCGCAGGUUCGAAUCCUGCCGCUCCCU
RNAcentral lists this transfer RNA (92 nucleotides) under Zoogloeaceae bacterium. RNAcentral describes it as "tRNA-Lys". It matches the Rfam family "tRNA". From Rfam's summary of the family: Transfer RNA (tRNA) molecules are approximately 80 nucleotides in length. Their secondary structure includes four short double-helical elements and three loops (D, anti-codon, and T loops). Lineage: Bacteria; Pseudomonadati; Pseudomonadota; Betaproteobacteria; Rhodocyclales; Zoogloeaceae. The record is from RNAcentral.